UUCAAUGGUGGUUCAGGUAGGGGAGGCUUCGGCCUCACCGGAAUCUUGACCCGGUAUUGCAAACCCUGUCUGAAUCACCACCAUC
This is a non-coding RNA of Xenorhabdus nematophila ATCC 19061, 85 nucleotides long. NCBI's taxonomy places the organism in Bacteria, Pseudomonadati, Pseudomonadota, Gammaproteobacteria, Enterobacterales, Morganellaceae. The record is from Rfam.